This is a non-coding RNA of Cryptobacterium curtum DSM 15641, 367 nucleotides long. It matches the Rfam family "Bacterial RNase P class A". From Rfam's summary of the family: Ribonuclease P (RNase P) is a ubiquitous endoribonuclease, found in archaea, bacteria and eukarya as well as chloroplasts and mitochondria. Its best characterised activity is the generation of mature 5'-ends of tRNAs by cleaving the 5'-leader elements of precursor-tRNAs. The record is from Rfam. NCBI's taxonomy places the organism in Bacteria, Bacillati, Actinomycetota, Coriobacteriia, Eggerthellales, Eggerthellaceae.
GGAGCGGGUUGGACAACCGCGGGCGGAUGUAUCCGCAUGAGGAAAGUCCGGGCUUCAAUGGGCAGGAUGCCAGCUAACGGCUGGGCGAGGCGACUCGACGGAUAGUGCCACAGAAAAGAAAACUCCCCUGUUAUGCGACAAUAUGUCGCUACCGCAGGAGAAAAGCUGAAACGGUGCGGUAAGAGCGCACCAGUGCGUCGGCAACGACGUAGCUUGGAAAACCCCAUCCGAAGCAAACGUAAAUAGGAACGCCAUACGGUCGCCCAUCCGUGCGUUCGGGUUGCGUGCUUGAGAUGUCUGGCAACAGGCACCGUAGAUAAAUGGUUGUCUUUAACGACAGAACCCGGCUUACAGGCCCGCUCCUUUA